This 336-nucleotide long non-coding RNA is filed under the name Dasypus novemcinctus (nine-banded armadillo). RNAcentral describes it as "lncRNA (ENSDNOG00000051121.1)". Lineage: Eukaryota; Metazoa; Chordata; Mammalia; Cingulata; Dasypodidae. The record is from RNAcentral.
CUUCGGAGCUUGGGCUUGGCUGGGCCAGAAGGUGGCUGAGAGAGCGCAAGAGAAAGAAAGAGAGGCGAGCGAAAUUCCUGAAUGGGUAGACAGCUGCUACGUCAUCGGAGCUGCAUCCUCCACUCCACAAGAGGCUAGGAGCUGGGGAGGGAGAGGCAGUCUAGCUGCAGGGGCCACGGCCGCAGCCUCUCCUCCUCUCGGAAGCCGGGAGGGCCCGGGGAAUACAGGAAGAAGGUGCUGUUCCUGCCCCAAGCCCCUCACCCACACCACUGCCUUCUAGAAGACAUCAUGGGGUACUGGAGGCUGGAGCUGAGCAGACUAUUUCUAGGAUCUCAG